GCGUGUCUUUACACAGCCACCAAGGUAGAGAGCACUCCACUGAAAAAGGAGAGGUCGUUGGUUCAAAUCCAACCGGCCCUCACCA
RNAcentral lists this transfer RNA (85 nucleotides) under Candidatus Vogelbacteria bacterium. RNAcentral's name for it is "tRNA-Phe". Lineage: Bacteria; Candidatus Vogeliibacteriota. The record is from RNAcentral.